This 479-nucleotide ribosomal RNA is filed under the name uncultured bacterium. Its description in RNAcentral is "bacterial SSU rRNA". It matches the Rfam family "Bacterial small subunit ribosomal RNA", at positions 335 to 831 of the family's 1533-position model. The record is from RNAcentral.
ACUCCUACGGGAGGCAGCAGUGGGGAAUAUUGGACAAUGGGCGCAAGCCUGAUCCAGCAAUGCCGCGUGUGUGAAGAAGGUCUUCGGAUUGUAAAGCACUUUCGACGGGGACGAUGAUGACGGUACCCGUAGAAGAAGCCCCGGCUAACUUCGUGCCAGCAGCCGCGGUAAUACGAAGGGGGCUAGCGUUGCUCGGAAUGACUGGGCGUAAAGGGCGCGUAGGCGGUUGAUGCAGUCAGAUGUGAAAUCCCCGGGCUUAACCUGGGAACUGCAUUUGAGACGCAUUGACUAGAGUUCGAGAGAGGGUUGUGGAAUUCCCAGUGUAGAGGUGAAAUUCGUAGAUAUUGGGAAGAACACCGGUGGCGAAGGCGGCAACCUGGCUCGAUACUGACGCUGAGGCGCGAAAGCGUGGGGAGCAAACAGGAUUAGAUACCCUGGUAGUCCACGCUGUAAACGAUGUGUGCUGGAUGUUGGGUAAC